AGUAGAACGCUGAAGCUUGGUGCUUGCACCGAGCGGAUGAGUUGCGAACGGGUGAGUAACGCGUAGGUAACCUGCCUCUUAGCGGGGGAUAACUAUUGGAAACGAUAGCUAAUACCGCAUAAAAGUCGACAUUGCAUGAUGUUGACUUGAAAGGUGCAACUGCAUCACUAAGAGAUGGACCUGCGUUGUAUUAGCUAGUUGGUGAGGUAACGGCUCACCAAGGCGACGAUACAUAGCCGACCUGAGAGGGUGAUCGGCCACACUGGGACUGAGACACGGCCCAGACUCCUACGGGAGGCAGCAGUAGGGAAUCUUCGGCAAUGGACGGAAGUCUGACCGAGCAACGCCGCGUGAGUGAAGAAGGUUUUCGGAUCGUAAAGCUCUGUUGUAAGAGAAGAACGAGUGUGAGAGUGGAAAGUUCACACUGUGACGGUAACUUACCAGAAAGGGACGGCUAACUACGUGCCAGCAGCCGCGGUAAUACGUAGGUCCCGAGCGUUAUCCGGAUUUAUUGGGCGUAAAGCGAGCGCAGGCGGUUAGAUAAGUCUGAAGUUAAAGGCUGUGGCUUAACCAUAGUACGCUUUGGAAACUGUUUAACUUGAGUGCA
RNAcentral lists this ribosomal RNA (607 nucleotides) under uncultured Bacilli bacterium. Its description in RNAcentral is "bacterial SSU rRNA". It matches the Rfam family "Bacterial small subunit ribosomal RNA", at positions 60 to 650 of the family's 1533-position model. Lineage: Bacteria; Bacillati; Bacillota; Bacilli. The record is from RNAcentral.